Molecule: ribosomal RNA, 519 nt
Filed under: Siro calaveras
Lineage: Eukaryota; Metazoa; Arthropoda; Arachnida; Opiliones; Sironidae
Description: LSU rRNA
Rfam family: Eukaryotic large subunit ribosomal RNA
Source: RNAcentral
CCAAGGAGUCUAACAUGUGCGCGAGUCAUUGGGUCUUGUUCAGGCCCAAAGGCGCAAUGAAAGUGAAGGCCGAUUCCGUCGGCUGCGUUGGGAUCCCGUCCUCUCGAGGGCGGGCGCACCAACGGCCCGUCCCGAUCGCCGCGUCGAUGGGGCGGAGUGAGAGCGUACACGUUGGGACCCGAAAGAUGGUGAACUAUGCCUGGGCAGGACGAAGCCAGAGGAAACUCUGGUGGAGGUCCGCAGCGAUUCUGACGUGCAAAUCGAUCGUCAGACCUGGGUAUAGGGGCGAAAGACUAAUCGAACCAUCUAGUAGCUGGUUCCCUCCGAAGUUUCCCUCAGGAUAGCUGGCGCUCGGAGGAGGCAUUCUCAUCCGGUAAAGCGAAUGAUUAGAGGCCUUGGGGCCGAAACGACCUCAACCUAUUCUCAAACUUUAAAUGGGUGAGAAGUCCGGCUUGCUCGACUGAAGCCCGGACGCGAAGAUGCGAGUGCCCAGUGGGCCACUUUUGGUAAGCAGAACUG